This 460-nucleotide ribosomal RNA is filed under the name uncultured bacterium. RNAcentral's name for it is "partial 16S ribosomal RNA". It matches the Rfam family "Bacterial small subunit ribosomal RNA", at positions 338 to 795 of the family's 1533-position model. The record is from RNAcentral.
CCUACGGGAGACAGCAGUGAGGAAUAUUGGUCAAUGGGCGCGAGCCUGAACCAGCCAAGUAGCGUGAAGGAUGACUGCCCUACGGGUUGUAAACUUCUUUUAUAAAGGAAUAAAGUGAGGCACGUGUGCCUUUUUGUAUGUACUUUAUGAAUAAGGAUCGGCUAACUCCGUGCCAGCAGCCGCGGUAAUACGGAGGAUCCGAGCGUUAUCCGGAUUUAUUGGGUUUAAAGGGUGCGUAGGCGGCCUUUUAAGUCAGCGGUGAAAGUCUGUGGCUCAACCAUAGAAUUGCCGUUGAAACUGGGGGGCUUGAGUAUGUUUGAGGCAGGCGGAAUGCGUGGUGUAGCGGUGAAAUGCUUAGAUAUCACGCAGAACCCCGAUUGCGAAGGCAGCCUGCCAAGCCAUGACUGACGCUGAUGCACGAAAGCGUGGGGAUCAAACAGGAUUAGAUACCCUUGUAGUC